This is a microRNA precursor of Gossypium arboreum, 138 nucleotides long. It matches the Rfam family "MIR7502 microRNA precursor family". Lineage: Eukaryota; Viridiplantae; Streptophyta; Magnoliopsida; Malvales; Malvaceae. The record is from Rfam.
UUUUAAAAAAUUUAUCCAUUUCUAUUGUUAAAAAUUGGAGUGGCUAACGAAAUAACUAAACAAUUACGUGUAGUGUAUACUUCGUGCUGAUGUACAUGGGGCAAUUUUUAAUAGUAGAAAUAGAUGAAAUUUUUUAUA